AGUGAACGCUGGCGGUAGGCCUAACACAUGCAAGUCGAACGGCAGCACAGUAAUAGCUUGCUCUUACGGGUGGCGAGUGGCGGACGGGUGAGGAAUACAUCGGAAUCUACUUUUUCGUGGGGGAUAACGUAGGGAAACUUACGCUAAUACCGCAUACGACCUACGGGUGAAAGCAGGGGAUCUUCGGACCUUGCUCGAUUGAAUGAGCCGAUGUCGGAUUAGCUAGUUGGCGGGGUAAAGGCCCACCAAGGCGACGAUCCGUAGCUGGUCUGAGAGGAUGAUCAGCCACACUGGAACUGAGACACGGUCCAGACUCCUACGGGAGGCAGCAGUGGGGAAUAUUGGACAAUGGGCGAAAGCCUGAUCCAGCCAUACCGCGUGGGUGAAGAAGGCCUUCGGGUUGUAAAGCCCUUUUGUUGGGAAAGAAAAGCAGCAGGUUAAUACCCCGCUGUUCUGACGGUACCCAAAGAAUAAGCACCGGCUAACUACGUG
This 492-nucleotide ribosomal RNA is filed under the name uncultured bacterium. RNAcentral's name for it is "partial 16S ribosomal RNA". It matches the Rfam family "Bacterial small subunit ribosomal RNA", at positions 29 to 507 of the family's 1533-position model. The record is from RNAcentral.